GACCAUUUGAUUUCCUUCUGUUCUUUAUAUAUUUUAUGUAAUAAAAAACCAGUGCAAAACACCUGGUACCUACCUUAUAAACUUUCUGUCUGUUCCACAAAUAUGUUAAGAUGAUUAAAUAAGAACUACCAUAUGUUUAAUGAAACAAUAAGCCAGGGAAUAACUAAAUGUCUCAGUACAAAGAGGCAUAACCUAUAACCACUGAAUGAAUCUCAAAGUACAAAUUUCUACAUUGGAAGGAGUACUCUCAGAACUAUUUUAAAACCUGCAGAAUAUAAUGUAACUAGAGUGGGAAGAAUGCACUACAUUUGAGAAGUGGUCAUGAAGCAGUUGUUGCCAUGGUCACAUCGUGGAAUUCUUAAGGACACUCGGGACAAUGAAAAUGAAUUAAUGUGCUGCACCUUCACUUUUCUCUAGGGCUUUAAAUCUUCCUCAGAUGGGUUUCACAUGAGGAAUAUGUCGGAGGACAAAACAAAGAAGCCAGAUCACCCACCUAACAGCCACAGUCUUUUACACAGAGUUUAGUGUUUUACAAAUCUGCUGUUUGUACUGCUUGGAAAACCCAAUCAACACCAUGCCAAAACCAGAUUUGGUGUUACUAGUCAUGGGAGUAAAAGAAAACUGAAGUAUUUUCUUCUGAGACACCACCCACUUCAACUUCUCUUUCCUAUUCUUAGCACUUGCUCCAGACCGAAGAAAACAACAGCAAGAGAAAUUAAAGGUCCUGUUGAGGAAUGCUGCAUAAGCCAAAACAAUGGACGGUGGGGGAGAAACGUCAGUAUGGCAACACCCCAGGUAUAAAGAGUAAACUAGUGUCACAUUUAACACAGAUACUAGUAUCUUUUUACUAUUAAAGAAUUAGCAUUUUCAAUAUUA
Long non-coding RNA from Anolis carolinensis (green anole), 876 nucleotides. RefSeq lists it as uncharacterized. The transcript has 3 exons. The record is from RefSeq and is a predicted model, not a curated record. NCBI's taxonomy places the organism in Eukaryota, Metazoa, Chordata, Lepidosauria, Squamata, Anolidae.